Non-coding RNA from Vicugna pacos (alpaca), 3579 nucleotides. The record is from RefSeq and is a predicted model, not a curated record. NCBI's taxonomy places the organism in Eukaryota, Metazoa, Chordata, Mammalia, Artiodactyla, Camelidae.
UCAAUCCGUGGGGAAGAAGUGGCGCAGGCAGGAGAGGCCGGGCCUGGAAGGGGCAGGAAAGAGAGGGUGCUUCAGGACUGUACCCAAGGGAAAAGCAAGCAUGGAAAGGCGCUUUGCCCGGUGUGUAGGGCCCUUGAACACCAGAUUGAGGAAGGCUCCUUUCGUAGGCAGCGUGGAGCCCCCGACCAGGUUAGAGCAAGGGCGCCAGCAGUCGGAGCUGGACUUAGGCCGCGCCCCCUGGUGGCCAGAAGGGGUGAGACAGGAGGCCGGAGGCGCGGGCUGCAGUGGUCCAGCAGAGAGGAGGCCGGGCGAAUGAUGUAAUGAGUCAGGAGACUGGAGUCCCUGCCCGCCCUGCCACCCGUGGGCUGUGUGACCUUGGGCAAGGCACUUCCCCUCUCCAGGCUUCUGGAGAGGAAAGGAGCCUGAUUUUCAGCUCUGAUGUCCCAUGACCCUGGAUACCGGAGCCAGGUGGGAGUAGGCAGUGGACCCCGGAAGGAACCGGCAGAUCAGAGGGGAGAGGUGGGCAUUUAGUUUGGCGCUCUGUGCUGGACACCUCAAACAAAUGACUUGGAAGCUAUUGUCCCAGUUUCACAGACAAGGACACCUCAACACGGAGAAGGUGUACAACAUCAUGCUCUGGUAUCUGUACGUACUGCAGAAUGAUCGCCACAGUUUGUUUGUUUAACGGAGGUGCUGGGGAUUGAACCAGGACCUCGUGCAUGCUAGGCACGUGAUCUGCCCCUGAACUCCACCCUCCCCGCUGAAGGUGACUGUCUUUAAAGCGAAUACAAAUUUUUGGGGUCUCCUCCCCACUACCUAAAGCACGCCAGUGAGGAGUUGUUCAUCAGGUGAACACUACGAGCCAUCAGUACAGGGAAAACCUAUGCAGCCCUCAAAAGGCUGGAGCCUCUGUGCAUGACUGAUGAGGGACAAUUUCCAAGAUAUUUUGGGUAGUGGAAAAGGCAAGGUGCAGUACAGGAUAUGGGUGGUACUUUUUAGGUUAAAAAGAGGGGGUACAAGGUGCAGGCUGGUUUGUGCCUGUAUUACCUCUGACAAAGCUUAAGAAACUGGUAUAGCGGUGCCGUGGGGAAGGGUGUGGGGAACUGGGGGCCACAGUGCAAAGGAGACUGACUGGCUUUUCACAGAGAUGUUCCAUUUAAAUAUUUUUUGUGCUCUGUGCAUGUAUCGCCUUUUUUUUUUUUAAAGAAUCAUUUCUGAGACUGGACAGGGAGUAGGGGCUGGCAUCUAGGACCUGCUCUGACACUGGCUGGGGUGACUCCUGGAUGCCCUCAUGGAGGCUGAUUUCCCUCCAAGCCUCAAGGUGCCCCUGACCUGGCAGGCAGGAAGGCUGAGAUAAGGCAGGUGCCAAGUCUCCUUGCAGCACUGACGCCCUCCCAGCCCCAGACCCUCCUCGCUGGAAGAGCUGACCUGACAUGAAUUGGCAGCUGGGAGGUGGGGGUACUCAGCUGGUGGUGAGCGGAGGCUGGGGGCUUGCACAACUUCUGCGCUCUUUCCAGCGCCUUCUCCCACUCACAGUGCCCUGCCUGGGAACUCUUGCUUCAUACUUCCUCUCCAGAUCACCCCUGCAAAGCUCCCGUCUGGGUGGGAGACACAGCACCGUGCACCCGUGUGGGCUGAGAUGUCAGCGUGGGCCAAGCCUCGUGCAGGGAACCGGACCACUCACCCCACCCAGGGAUCAGCCCUGCCCACAAUCCCGCUCCCUCCCCACCGCCUCUCUGGCCCACCCCCAGUCACUACCCAGAAUGUUCUGUGGCUCCCCAGUGCCCACCAAACCAAGGAGACACUCUCUGGCUGGACAUUCAAGGUGCUAUAUUUUCUGGCCUCUAUCCUUCCAGCCCUUCCACCACCCACUACUGUCCCUUAUUUAAAGCAACUUUCAAAAAUACAUUUUUUGGUGGCAGGGAGGGUAGAGCUCAGGGGUAGUGCACGUACUUAGCACACACGAGGUCCUGGGUUCAAUCCCCAGUGCCUCCAUUGAGAAAAUAAAUAAAUAAAUGAACCUAAUAAUCUCCCCACAAAAAGAGAAAAAAAAAAAAGCAUUUUCCAUCACUCCCCUUCCCUGCUCAGAACCCUUCUAUGCUGCCCCAUAACCUGCAGGACAGUCUAAGCUCCUCAGUUUGAUAUCAGAACUAGCUUCUGCCUCCCUGCCUCGCUCCGUCUUCAGCUGUUGCCCCAAAGUCAAGCUAUACUUAAUGUCUUUCGAGCAUACCAUGCAGUUUCACAACACUGUGUAUUUGCACAUACUAUUGUCUCCAUUUCUCAAUAUAUAAAGAGUUCUAACAAAUCAGUAAGAAAAAAACAUGAACUCAAAAUAAAAGUAUCCAGUUGCUCUAACUAGGUAGUUCAGAGAAAAAGAAAACAAAUGGCCUAGAAACCUACAAAAAAAGUAACUUUACUUAUAAAGAGACACACAUCGUAAGGGUGAGAUACCAUUUCACCCACCAAAGUGGCAAAAACUCCUAAUGAAUGCCUUUUGCUAGUUAGCUGAAGUCCAAACCCACCCUUUAGACUGAGCUGCAAAAAUGUCACCUCCUCGAGACAUCCUGGCUCCCACAAUGCCCUGUACACCCUGAGACAGUGCUUAGACCAGAACUAGGCACAGUGCAGAAACUCAGUAAAUGUUAGCUGUUAAUAAUAAAAAUAACCACUGCCAUGCUGUUCUUUAAUCGUCAGCUAAUGAGUCUGUUCCCUGUCCAGGGGUCCCAAGGGCAGGGGUGGAGCUGGAAUCAUCUCUGUUUUGCCAGCAUCAGCUCAGGGCCCAGGAAAUGGCUAAGCAGGGGGAACAGGUGAGGCGCGUGAGGCAGAGGGAAGGCUGGAGCCUGGAGCUGGCCACAGGGCUUCUGUGUUGGGGAGAGGAGGUGCUGCAGGAGAGGGGCAGCGGGAGGCAGGGCCGGGGGUGGGGCAGCCCCAAGCUCGUGAGAAACAUGGCCUGCACACGUCGUGCCCUGCUGUGUCUGCAGGUGCCGAGCUGGGCUCUCCGCCUACACUUUUCAGAGAUGGGUGAUGCUUCCUCCACGUUACAGGUGAGAAAACCUGGGUGGGGGGUGGGGGGGUUAGCAACUACCUAGUCGCUCUGAUUUACUCCACGCAGCCUCCAGGCUUGCGUGUGGGUACUCACAGAGGCCUGGCUUUGGACAUGUGACUUUCCCUACGUAGGCCUCUACCUUCCCAUCUGAGAGACGGCUCUACAGUAAGAGUUUCUCAAACUCAGGAACAGGUGAACCCCUAAGAAAGCAGUUUGUAACAUUCAUCAGACCCCACUUUAAGGCUCACUGCAGCCUAAAUUAAAUGCUGCCACUUUGGAGGACCCCCGAUAACCCCAUGUGCAUAAACACACAGAAAAGGCAGCUGCAGAAACUGGGUGGCAGAACUCAGCUUUCAGAGAGUCGUCCAGGUGACCUGGAACACAUGUCUGCUAAAAUGGGAUGGGGGUAUCAUCUUCAUGAAAAUAACAUCUAAAAAACUAUUGAGGGAUAGUGGGAAUGUUGGUGGGAAUGCAGUUUGGUACAGCCAUUAUGGAGGACAGUAUGGAGGUUCCUUAAAAAACUAAAAAUAGAG